RNAcentral lists this long non-coding RNA (1504 nucleotides) under Oncorhynchus kisutch (coho salmon). RNAcentral's name for it is "lncRNA (ENSOKIG00005046393.1)". The record is from RNAcentral. Lineage: Eukaryota; Metazoa; Chordata; Actinopteri; Salmoniformes; Salmonidae.
CCAUGCUGUGCUGCUACCAUGUUGUGUUGUCAUGUGUUGCUGCCAUGCUGUGUUGCUACCAUGCUGUGUUGCUACCAUGCUGUGUUGCUACCAUGCUGUGUUGUCAUGUGUUGCUGCCAUGCUGUGUUGCUACCAUGCUUUGUGCUGCUACCAUGUUGUGUUGUCAUGUGAUGCUACCAUGCUGUGUUGCUACCAUGCUGUUCUGCUACCAUGUUGUGUUGUCAUGUGUUGCUGCCAUGCUGUGUUGCUACCAUGUUGUUCUGCUACCAUGUUGUGUUGUCAUGUGAUGCUACCAUGCUGUGUUGCUACCAUGCUUUGUGCUGCUACCAUGUUGUGUUGUCAUGUGUUGCUGCCAUGCUGUGUUGCUACCAUGCUGUUUCGCUACCAUGUUGUGUUGUCAUGUGUUGCUGCCAUGCUGUGUUGCUACCAUGCUUUGUGCUGCUACCAUGUUGUGUUGUCAUGUGUUGCUGCCAUGCUGUGUUGCUACCAUGCUUUGUGCUGCUACCAUGUUGUGUUGUCAUGCGUUGCUGCCAUGCUGUGUUGCUACCAUGCUGUGUUGCUACCAUGUUGUGUUGUCAUGUGUUGCUGCCAUGCUGUGUUGCUACCAUGUUGUGUUGUCAUGUGUUGCUGCCAUGCUGUGUUGCUACCAUGCUUUGUGCUGCUACCAUGUUGUGUUGUCAUGUGUUGCUGCCAUGCUGUGUUGCUACCAUGCUUUGUGCUGCUACCAUGUUGUGUUGUCAUGUGUUGCUGCCAUGCUGUGUUGCUACCAUGCUUUGUGCUGCUACCAUGUUGUGUUGUCAUGUGUUGCUGCCAUGCUGUGUUGCUACCAUGCUUUGUGCUGCUACCAUGUUGUGUUGUCAUGUGUUGCUGCCAUGCUGUGUUGCUACCAUGCUGUGUUGCUACCAUGUUGUGUUGUUAUCUGUUGCUGCCAUGCUGUGUUGCUACCAUGUUGUGUUGUCAUCUGUUGCUGCCAUGCUGUGUUGCUACCAUGUUGUGUUGUCAUCUGUUGCUGCCAUGCUGUGUUGCUACCAUGUUGUGUUGUCAUGUGAUGCUGCCAUGCUGUGUUGCUACCAUGCUGUGUUGCUACCAUGUUGUGUUGUCAUGUGAUGCUGCCAUGCUGUGUUGUUGUCUCAGGUCUCUCUUUAUGUAGUGUUGUGAUGUGUCUUUUGUUCUAUAUUUUCUUGUCCCUGUCCCCGCAGGAGGUCUUUGCCUUUUGACCCUCCCACUCUGUCUGCCGAAUUCUUUCUCUUUGCUCUUGUUUUCCUUAUUAGGACGUCGGUGGGCGGAGCCGGGAGGGUCGUCCGAGAAAUGGGCCCGGGUGUGUCCCAGGAUAAAUGCACCUCUUCCCCAUUCAUUGGGGAGACUCUCUCCAUGCAGACACUGAUUUUGCUUGUGUCUGUUUUUGGUUGCGUUGGCACCUUUCAACUCAUUAUCUUAUUUAUGCACGCAACCACUCACUUACACUACUGAUUACUGACUACACACACCAUUGUUAAUUGUAUUU